GGGAAACUGCCUGAUGGAGGGGGAUAACUACUGGAAACGGUAGCUAAUACCGCAUAACCUCGCAAGAGCAAAGAGGGGGACCUUAGGGCCUCUCGCCAUCAGAUGUGCCCAGAUGGGAUUAGCUAGUAGGUGAGGUAAUGGCUCACCUAGGCGACGAUCCCUAGCUGGUCUGAGAGGAUGACCAACCACACUGGAACUGAGACACGGUCCAGACUCCUACGGGAGGCAGCAGUGGGGAAUAUUGCACAAUGGGCGCAAGCCUGAUGCAGCCAUGCCGCGUGUGUGAAGAAGGCCUUCGGGUUGUAAAGCACUUUCAGCGAGGAGGAAGGCGAUAAGGUUAAUAACCUUAUCGAUUGACGUUACUCGCAGAAGAAGCACCGGCUAACUCCGUGCCAGCAGCCGCGGUAAUACGGAGGGUGCAAGCGUUAAUCGGAAUGACUGGGCGUAAAGCGCACGCAGGCGGUCUGUUAAGUUGGAUGUGAAAUCCCCGGGCUUAACCUGGGAACUGCAUUCAAAACUGACAGGCUAGAGUCUUGUAGAGGGGGGUAGAAUUCCAGGU
Molecule: ribosomal RNA, 559 nt
Filed under: uncultured bacterium
Lineage: Bacteria
Description: bacterial SSU rRNA
Rfam family: Bacterial small subunit ribosomal RNA
Source: RNAcentral